ACUCAGGAUGAACGCUGGCGGCGUGCUUAACACAUGCAAGUCGAGCGAAGCACUUUAAAGGAAGUUUCGGAUGGAUUUAAAGUGACUGAGCGGCGGACGGGUGAGUAACGCGUGGGUAACCUGCCUCAGUACAGGGGGAUAACAGUUGGAAACGACUGCUAAUACCGCAUAAGCGCACAGUGCUGCAUAGCACAGUGUGAAAAACUCCGGUGGUAUGAGAUGGACCCGCGUCUGAUUAGGUAGUUGGUGGGGUAACGGCCCACCAAGCCGACGAUCAGUAGCCGACCUGAGAGGGUGACCGGCCACAUUGGGACUGAGACACGGCCCAAACUCCUACGGGAGGCAGCAGUGGGGAAUAUUGGACAAUGGGGGAAACCCUGAUCCAAGCGACGCCGCGUGAGUGAAGAAGUGUUUCGGCAUGUAAAGCUCUAUCAGCAGGGAAGAAAAUGACGGUACCUGACUAAGAAGCCCCGGCUAACUACGUGCCAGCCGCCGC
This 496-nucleotide ribosomal RNA is filed under the name uncultured bacterium. RNAcentral describes it as "bacterial SSU rRNA". It matches the Rfam family "Bacterial small subunit ribosomal RNA", at positions 22 to 518 of the family's 1533-position model. The record is from RNAcentral.